GAGAUAGCCAUGCGAGUUAACGUAGCAAUACGUGGCGCACGGCUCAGUAACACGUAGUCAACAUGCCCAGGGGACGUGGAUAACCUCGGGAAACUGAGUCUAAACCGCGAUAAGUGAGGAUUUCUGGAAUGGUUCCUGACUAAAAUCUAUAUGGCCUCUGGAUUGGACUGCGGCCGAUCAGGCUGUUGGUGAGGUAAUGGCCCACCAAACCUGUAACCGGUACGGGCUCUGAGAGGAGGAGCCCGGAGAUGGGCACUGAGACAAGGGCCCAGGCCCUAUGGGGCGCAGCAGGCGCGAAACCUCUGCAAUAGGCGAAAGCCUGACAGGGUUACUCUGAGUGACUUUCGCUAAGAAAGUCUUUUGGCACCUCUAAAAAGGGUGCAGAAUAAGGGGUGGGCAAGUCUGGUGUCAGCCGCCGCGGUAAUACCAGCACCCCGAGUGGUCGGGACGAUUAUUGGGCCUAAAGCAUCCGUAGCCGGUUCUGCAAGUCCCCCGUUAAAUCCAGCUGCUCAACAGAUGGGCCGCGGAGGAUACUACAGAGCUAGGAGGCAGGAGAGGCAAGCGGUACUCAGUGGGUAGGGGUAAAAUCCGUUGAUCCAUUGAAGACCACCAGUGGCGAAGGCGGCUUGCCAGAAUGCGCUCGACGGUGAGGGAUGAAAGCUGGGGGAGCAAACCGGAUUAGAUACCCGGGUAGUCCCAGCCGUAAACGAUGCAGACUCGGUGAUGGGUUGGCUUCGCGCUAACCCAGUGCCGCAGGGAAGCCGUUAAGUCUGCCGCCUGGGUAGUACGGUCGCAAGACUGAAACUUAAAGGAAUUGGCGGGGGAGCACCACAAGGGUGAGGCCUGCGGUUC
Molecule: ribosomal RNA, 852 nt
Filed under: uncultured crenarchaeote
Lineage: Archaea; Thermoproteati; Thermoproteota
Description: bacterial SSU rRNA
Rfam family: Archaeal small subunit ribosomal RNA
Source: RNAcentral